Molecule: ribosomal RNA, 492 nt
Filed under: uncultured bacterium
Lineage: Bacteria
Description: partial 16S ribosomal RNA
Rfam family: Bacterial small subunit ribosomal RNA
Source: RNAcentral
AGUGAACGCUGGCGAUAGGCCUAACACAUGCAAGUCGAACGGCAGCACAGUAAGAGCUUGCUCUUACGGGUGGCGAGUGGCGGACGGGUGAGGAAUACAUCGGAAUCUACUUUUUCGUGGGGGAUAACGUAGGGAAACUUACGCUAAUACCGCAUACGACCUACGGGUGAAAGCAGGGGAUCUUCGGACCUUGCGCGAUUGAAUGAGCCGAUGUCGGAUUAGCUAGUUGGCGGGGUAAAGGCCCACCAAGGCGACGAUCCGUAGAUGGUCUGAGAGGAUGAUCGGACACACUGGAACUGAGAAACGUUCCAGACUCCUACAGGAAGCAGCAGUGGGGAAUAUUGGACAAUGGGCGCAAGCCUGAUCCAGCCAGACCGCGUAGGGGAAGAAGGCCUUCGGGUUGUAGAGCCCUUUUGUUGGGUAAGAAAAGCAGCAGGUUAAUACCCCGCUGUUCUGACGUUACCCAAAGAAUAAGCACCGGCUAACUUCGUG